Molecule: long non-coding RNA, 1294 nt
Organism: Mastomys coucha (southern multimammate mouse)
Lineage: Eukaryota; Metazoa; Chordata; Mammalia; Rodentia; Muridae
Exons: 3
Source: RefSeq, a predicted model, not a curated record
GUCAGCACCUGAUAUGUCACGCCAGCAGGGACUGAGAGCUCACAUCUCAAACCGGAAAUGGUAUCCGCCUUUUAAAUUCUCAAAUAUUGCCUCCAGCGAUAGUACUUCUUCCAUCAAAGCCACGCCUCCUAAAUAUCCCACCAGCUGAGGACGAAGGAUUCAAUCUCACAUUAUAGCCCCUAGAUGGCCUUGAAUUCACAGCAAUCCCACUGCCUCAGCUUCCUACAUGCUGCAGAAUUACUUGGCUUACGUCUGAUUAUAUAACAGAAGGCUGAGAAGAAUGGAUCUUAGAAGAUGGUAGGGGUGAAGGCUGGUAGAGAAAAACGUAAAGGUGGUGCCGGGGCCCUCACAGACCUGCUUCGUGACUUCCUUCAGUGGUGUUCCAAGAAGCAGGCUGUGGAUGUGGAGAAGGGUCUGUGGCCAGAGCUGCUGGACAGUGGUGGUGUGGAGAUUGCUGUCUCUGACUGGUGAGUGUGGGGACAGAAAUUGAUGGGUCCUUAGCUUAUCUGGUAUGAACAAGGACCUGAGAACAAUCCCCAACACCAGGGGCAGAGGAGAAUCAGUGUUGGCUAAAUUUUUCUACACAGUACCCAGCGAUAUUACAAAGUUCUGAUAGGAAAGGCUCACAGAGUACCCAUUACAUCCAAGGGUCCAGCAAAGUGAUGGCACAUACCUGAAAUCCCAGCUCUUAGGCCACGGGAUAGAAGUACUGGGAAUUCCUGGCCAUUUUAGCUACUUAGGGAGACCCUCUGUUUAGAACUAGGAGAGGCCUACUCAGGCCCCGUGUGUGUAAUAGAUGUGUCCCACCCCCAGAAACUCUUUCUCCUCCAUUCACCCAGCAGUGGACAAUCCUACUUGACCCUGUGUUUAUUUUUGGGAAGAUUUACCUACUAGGGAAUGGUGAUCUUGGAGAGAUCUCCUCCCCACCAGCUGCCUCUGGAUCCUCUCAAGGGUCCCUGUGCCCAACAUGGACCCUUGUCACGCCAUUUCUGCUUCCGGGAUUUCCCUGGUUCCUUGGUGAUGCACUCCUGUCGAAAGUCUGUCACUGCCAGUCAGCUAGGUCAACUCACGGUAAAUCUGUCUCUGGGGUAAGAGAAGAAGGAAGCACCUUCAUACAUGCGUGGUUCUCACGGCCUCUGUAAUUGUUGAAUGUUUUAAAAUAGUUUUCAUUUUGGGGCCUGAAGAUAUGGCUCAGCAGUUAAAAUUGAGUGUUGCUCUCACAGGGGACCUGUACUGCCUGGUUUUGUGUGUCAACUUGACACAGGCUGGAGUUAUCCCAGAGAAGGGAGCUUCA